AGAACGAACGCUGGCGGCAGGCUUAACACAUGCAAGUCGAACGCUCCGCAAGGAGAGUGGCAGACGGGUGAGUAACGCGUGGGAAUCUACCUAGUUCUACGGAACAACACAGGGAAACUUGUGCUAAUACCGUAUACGCCCUACGGGGGAAAGAUUUAUCGGAAUUAGAUGAGCCCGCGUAAGAUUAGCUAGUUGGUGGGGUAAUGGCCUACCAAGGCGACGAUCUUUAGCUGGUCUGAGAGGAUGAUCAGCCACACGUGGGACUGAGACACGGCCCAGACUCCGUACGGGAGGCAGCGAGGUGGGGAAUUAGUUGGACAAGUGGGCGACAA
This 332-nucleotide ribosomal RNA is filed under the name uncultured soil bacterium. Its description in RNAcentral is "bacterial SSU rRNA". It matches the Rfam family "Bacterial small subunit ribosomal RNA", at positions 26 to 381 of the family's 1533-position model. The record is from RNAcentral.